Molecule: ribosomal RNA, 495 nt
Filed under: uncultured bacterium
Lineage: Bacteria
Description: partial 16S ribosomal RNA
Rfam family: Bacterial small subunit ribosomal RNA
Source: RNAcentral
AUGAACGCUGGCGGCGUGCCUAAUACAUGCAAGUCGAGCGAACAGAUGAGGAGCUUGCUCCUCUGACGUUAGCGGCGGACGGGUGAGUAACACGUGGAUAACCUACCUAUAAGACUGGGAUAACUUCGGGAAACCGGAGCUAAUACCGGAUAAUAUAUUGAACCGCAUGGUUCAAUAGUGAAAGACGGUUUUGCUGUCACUUAUAGAUGGAUCCGCGCCGCAUUAGCUAGUUGGUAAGGUAACGGCUUACCAAGGCAACGAUGCGUAGCCGACCUGAGAGGGUGAUCGGCCACACUGGAACUGAGACACGGUCCAGACUCCUACGGGAGGCAGCAGUAGGGAAUCUGCCGCAAUGGGCGAAAGCCUGACGGAGCAACGCCGCGUGAGUGAUGAAGGUCUUCGGAUCGUAAAACGCUGUUAUUAGGGAAGAACAAAUGUGUAAGUAACUAUGCACGUCUUGACGGUACCUAAUCAGAAAGCCACGGCUAACUACGU